Molecule: long non-coding RNA, 6114 nt
Organism: Mercenaria mercenaria
Lineage: Eukaryota; Metazoa; Mollusca; Bivalvia; Venerida; Veneridae
Exons: 2
Source: RefSeq, a predicted model, not a curated record
AUUUUAUUAAUAUUAAAUAAUAACAUUUAUUUUGGCGCAUCAAGCUUGGUGUGUAUCCAAGGUUACCAAAUUAAAUUUGGUAUUUGGAUACACUCGGCAUUUUCCGUAUACAGUAAUCAUUAGUGUGUGACCACUGGUCAGUCAAUAGUCGGCAUGUGUACAACCAACAGAAAAUGAAAUGGUUUCAAAAUAUAUCUGUCAACAUCGUUAUUUUGCUUCAAGUAGAAUGCUUAGCUUGGUCUGGCAUUGUUACAAAAUGCUGUCAAUUAUCGUAAUAAUGGAUAUUGGCGGCGAAAACCAGGAUUUCAAAGGUAAUUUUUAUCCUCGAAAUUUUUGUUUGUUCGCACUCGUGAAAUCACAAUUGAGUUUAUGAAAAUGGCAUGGCAUCUAGCAUUAACAUUGUUAAGAAUAUUGCAGCUGUAUAAAACAUACAUUUGAAGUAAAAGUUUGGUGCCACUUGUAACCUAGUAGAAAUAAUGAAUGUUUCGUAUUUUCUCGGGAACCAAUAAUUUCUCGGUGGUCGUAUACUCGUAAUAAAAUUAAUUACAUUGGUGACACACGUCAUUCAUUAGAAUCAUUCUACGUGCAACCAACUACUUAGACAAAAUGUAUUCUCUUAAAUCAUAAAUGUAAAUGUACGUGUCCGAGGAAAUUCGCUAAGUUGUCGUUUUAGUCGUGCUGUCCGAUUAUGUCUAUCCGAAAAUUUGCUAGUCAGAUAAACACGCGAAGUCUCGUUGGUAAAUGCCUGUUAGAAAAAUAUAGAUUAUUGUUAUUAUGUGGGAUAGGUAUGGAUUAUAUCAUUAGAUAGACAUGUUUUCCUAUCAGGUCGGGCUAUUGUCUAUCUAAAUUAAAUGUUGUAUGGAUUACAAAUUGUUUGUACUCGGAAAUUGUUGUUGUUUACUUUACUACAUAGGAAAGAUAACUACGGUUUCAAUACUCAUGUUUAGGCCAGGAUAGAAGUAUUAAAAAACUUGGUUUAAUGAACUUACGUAAUAGGGUAAUUGCCAGGAAAAUAUAUGGAUUUAAUUUCAUUUAAGUAAUUGUUAAUUUUAUACUCGUAGAGUCUGAAAGAAUGUUUGUAUGGAGAUACUGUACAUGUAUUGUAAAAAGAAACAAAACACUUGUGAUCAAUGAUAUUAAUGCCGCCUAUCACAGUACUCUGUCUGUGGUCAGAAUUAAGGCACAACGAUCUGAGGUAAAUGUCAUUAUUGAAGUUUUUAAUUUGCCAUUUGUUUACUGCCUUGCAUUUUAAUUUAAUAGACAUCCUGCGUGUCCUUAUUAGUCUAAAUAAUGAGACCUCGGGUAGGUCGAUUUUACAUUCUGAUAUUUUACGUUGAAUAUUUACCAGUCAAAAAAGUAAUAAUAAUAUAUAUAUAUAACAAUAUUCAAGGCCUGAGUACAAUUACUGGGACUAGCAUGUCCUAGGCCUUUAGUAAGAUCAGUGAUAGAGAAUUCUGGGGGAGAAUUUAGCUGCUUAUACAAAUAUAAUUUCACAUGGGGAAAGUUACAAAGACUAUAUCGUAUAUAACAACAUUAUUAUCAAUUACACAAUUUUGUUAACUUAUAAAUGAGCAUAGCAUUCCGACACGAUUAUCCACUACAAUAAUCUGGCAGAUAAGUACUUGCCUUGAAAGAAAUCCAUGUAAUUUUAUGGCUGAAUAAUUUAAUUUUGUGUAUGUUAAUUGAAUAUAUAGAUAAAUUUUAUUUGAGGUCAGUAUUUGUACACUUCAGUCGUUUCAAUCGGUCUUCAUAGGAGGAAGGGAUGGUAAUUUCGUACAGGCAGUAAUUUUGUCGGCAGUUAUUAAGCAUAUUCUCUUAAUUAAUAAAUAUUUAGCAUGAUCACUUGGUUCUAAUGUUUCUUUUGUAGAUACUUUUACAUCUAGCAUAUAAUAUUAUCUCUGCUAAAUUGGAUGGCAUGGUUUAAUCAUGCAGUCACCCAGUUCAGUUUCUAUUUACUUUGUCAUGUUACAAAUUAGCUUUAGUAUAACUGCACUUCUACACUCUAUAUAAGCAGGAUAACUGAAUAAUAACAAAUUUGCUUAUUAAGGAAAUACACUCUGCAUAACCACAUAUUGUAAAAAGUCUGUUCAAUUUUUAUUACAGUGCGAAAAUGCUCAACUUCUAACUUAUGUAUUACAAAUUUCUGUAUUUAAUAUGGUACCAACACCAAGUUUUAUAUUGCAAGACAAUGGUACUAUUACAGGCAAAAUCAAUGUGUUUCAUGUGCGAACUUUUAAGCCUGAUUCACAUUUAAUGGGAUGAUUGGGCAAAGAACUGGUCCCUGUGCCUGUGGUCUCAUGAUCGCAGCUUAAAUAAUAUAUAAUGUUUUGAAACAGGUAAAUUUAAGGGAUAUGGAGGAAACCGUAAAUUCAUUAGUCCAAUGUUGCAAACAUAAAAUCCCAAAACAUAUUAUAGUUAAGCAAUUAAAAACAAUUUUAGCAUUUAAUAUACAUACAUAUUUAGGUUGGCAGUCACAAAUAAUCUAGCGUACAAUAAUAAGAAAUGUUAGUAACUAAACAAAAGUAUUAUUCUAAGAGUAAGGUUCGUUAUGUGAAAGUUUUAAGUGUGACAAUCUUGCGAAUUUGCAUGACAAACAGUCUGUCUGUUUUUGAUAUUUUCAAUUUGUCUUUUAUGCGAUGAGUCUAUAAUUUAUAAACAACAAAAAGAAAACAAUAACAGCAAAAACAGUAACAAAAAUCUUCCAUGAUUCAGUUUGGUUUAAAAAUAAAUUGAAAAAAUAAAAAUAAAUAGGGCAAUGAUUGUAAUAUAAAUUUUGUAGUAGUGACGGGUCGGAGCUUGAAUUCCACAUUAUCGUGUUACAAUUGAAACAGAAACUGUUUCACCAUUAAUGGUAAAUAUAUAAAUUGGAUGUGAUUAAAGGGCUUUAAUUAAAAGAAAUUAUUGAAUCAUUGCUUUACUUUAAUUUUAACUGUUUGUAUGAAAAAUUUAACUGUAUGAAAAAGAAACAAUAACACAAAGUUUACAUCAGAAAUAGAGCGCACGAAAUAUCAUUCAAGGCCUAAUUUGUGCAUUAGACAAUUUAUAUUUUGUCAUUAUGUCGGUUAGAACAUCCAUAAGUAUCAUUAAUAAUAAUAAUAAUAAUAAUAAUAAUAAUAAUAAAAAAUGGGUAUCAGUAUGAAUACAGUUAGUACAGGAUCAAGUAAUUGGGCAACAUAGCUGACUUUGUCCUGAAGGCAAGAGCCUGAUAAAGCAGGAUAAAAGAUGUCAUAGUCAUCAUCAUUAAUUUUGAAAUAAACAGAAGUUGUCAAAGGCUGCAAGUUUCUAAGACAACUUUGAUUAGGUUUGUAGUAAGUCAUUAGAAUUUUGGGGGAAUAAAUUUUUCAAAUUUAUUGUGGCGGAAAAUUCUAUGACUGGGCGAGCAGGCAGGCGCAUGCUCUUGUAAAAUAUAGGUCAGAUUUAAUGUUACAAUCUUUUGGUGGUUGUAUGUUGUUGUUGUUGUGAUGUAUUCUGCUAGGUCGGUUGACAGUAAUCGAACCAUUGGUUGCUUGUCUGUUGUUAAAGUGAUACUAACAGCUAGCUCUGUUAACACUUUAGUGUGUUAACCGCUAGGUCAGUUAAAUUGUGUUAACCGCUAGGUCGGUUAAAGUGUGUUAACCGCUAGGUCGGUUAAAGUGUGUUAACCGCUAGGUCGGUUAUAGUGUGUUAACAGCUGUGUCGAUUUAAAGUGUGUUACCGCUAUGUCGGUUAACGGAUAGGUCAGUUUACAGUGUGAACUAGGUUUUGCCCAUUACUACGUAGCGUAAUUCCUAGUUUCACAAGUCCGCAGUUGCUAUUUUAAUCAAUUUAUUGAAAACAUGCGCUUGCUUGCUCGUCAGUCAGUGGGCCUGAUAUCAUGCGGCCUUUUCUGCCACUUAUUAAUAUGAUUGAUAUACAAUUUUGUUCAGUACCCUUUGGUGUAACUUGUUUGUAUGUUGAAGUGUUGACCUGGAAUAAAGUAUUAUCGCUUACAUAAUGUUGCUAGUUAUUUCCUUGAGAAGUCCUAAAAUAAGACUUAUUAUUUUAUUAAUAUUAAAUAAUAACAUUUAUUUUGGCGCAUCAAGCUUGGUGUGUAUCCAAGGUUACCAAAUUAAAUUUGGUAUUUGGAUACACUCGGCAUUUUCCGUAUACAGUAAUCAUUAGUGUGUGACCACUGGUCAGUCAAUAGUCGGCAUGUGUACAACCAACAGAAAAUGAAAUGGUUUCAAAAUCCCACCCGCCACUCCCAUUUAGGUGCCAUGCCAUUUACUUGUCAUAUUGUUAGUGGUACAUGUCAGUGAAUAUCUAGUAGGUCACCAUUUGCAACCUAUAAUAUUAUAUAUAUAUAAAAAAAGAUGCAAAAUUGAUCUGUUUUAAAUGGUUCGGGAUUGCAGGUGUUUGGCAGUUACAUGUCUCUGUAUAGUAUGGAGCAUAGUUUAAAUUAUUCGAGAUCAGUUUAACAAGUUUGUUUUUAGUAGAGUAGCUGGUACAUGUAUGGUGACAUAUUUUGUUAUUUACAAUGUUUAAUAUCCAUGUAUUUUGCAGUAUACUGCCGGUGGAGUUUUAUAUAUUUUCAGGCUGUUUAUGCAGUAAGGAAGGAAAGUUGUGAACAGUCAGUAAAUAAAAAUGGACAAUAUACCACCCACAAAUGGUAUACCAAGCACAAAGGGAAGGAGUACAAACAAUAUUUAAAACCAUUACGUGAUGCCUGUUUAACACGGAUAUACAUACAAGCUAAAUUACUAAGCUAGUCAAGUGGAUUGUAUAAAUCAAAUUUAUCCAAAGCCUCUGGGAAUGUGGAAUAGAAACUUGAAAGCAACAAGUUUAGAAACUAGAAUGACUUUAAUUAACAACAGCUACAAAUGUCACAAUAAUUGUUUUAACAUGAACUUUCCAUUUGAUCCAUCACAAUUUCACAAAGCAGGAAAAUUCACAAACGCUGGAAUCCUAAAACUUAUAUACAAAUUAGACACACCUUGUCUAUUGGGACAGGCCUUGUCACAAACAAACAGUAAUUGCCUGUAACAAAACUAGGAGACAUACAAAAGGAAUUGUUCAAGAAAUAUCAGCUGCAGUGGCACUUACCAGGACAUUAGCUUAGUAUGUCAUGACAGGACAGUGAGUAAGAUGACAAUAUUACAAUAGCAAGAGGAGAAAUAUAAAUAUACUCUCUUAUAGUAAUAUGUAUUACUUAUUGUUUGCAAAAGUGUUUUAAUAACUUGUAACACUAACAUGUGUAACAGAAAACACUAAUAUAAGUAAUAUAAGUAAUUAAGCCGAGACUGGAAAGAUGUUUGUUCAAAUGUAGUUUUAUCAAUAGACUUACGCAAAUGGAAACCAAGAAGCGUCAGCUCCUUAAUAUCGAAGAACAAUUAAUCAAGGGAUGUCUCAGUAAUGGUCUUCACAUAAACAUAAAAUACUUUUUCAGCAGUGACAAUAUUAUUCCAUGCUUCAUUUCGGGGAUGUUCAGUUGCAAUUAUACUGAUUAUAUUGUGUGAAUUAGCUAUAUUUGUUUUUACAUGUUGAAAGUUGCAUAAAUAGUGCAAUGAACUUUGGGCAGUAUGAACUUUGAGUAAUCAAUGUUUCCUAAAUUCAACUGAUGUACUUUUAUAUGUUAUAUAAAUUGCAUAGUCAGCCAGGUCAUGUAAUCCAACGCUUUCCCGUACUUUUCUCUCAAAGAGUUUUUAGGGUUUUGGUGCGCGGAUUACAAAUAAAACUUGUACAUGAUUUUAUUUUGCUUAAUCUCUGUUCAUUGCACUAUUUACUGUUUAUGCCAUGAAGAACUAACUUGUUCAUAAUAAGUUAUUCUGAUUCAUGUCAUUCACAUUACCGUCUAUGUUACAUAUUUUGGAUGGACUUUUGCAUAUUUAUGUUUUAGGACCAUGUUAGAUUGGCUGUAGCCAAAUAUGCUAUUCUUCUUUAUAAAAAAAAAAAAAAAAGUUACUGAUUUGAAUAUGAAAUCAUUCUGAUAUUUAUCCUUUUCCUGGAAAAAUGUUUUACGAAGUUUCAGUUCUAUAUAUAAUUGGAAACAUUAUUUCUUAUGAUUCUGUUGUUACCUCUGAAUGUAUUGAGUAGAAAAUGAAAAGAUAAAUGCAAUGAUUUAACUUUUAAGAUUAAGUAAACUAUUAUAUACAUUAA